AACCAGCACCUCAAGUGGUCAGGAUGAUUAUUGGGCCUAAAGCAUCCGUAGCCGGCUCUGUAAGUUUUCGGUUAAAUCUGUACGCUUAACGUACAGGCUGCCGGGAAUACUGCAGAGCUAGGUAGUGGGAGAGGUAGACGGUACUCGGUAGGAAGGGGUAAAAUCCUUUGAUCUAUUGAUGACCACCUGUGGCGAAGGCGGUCUACCAGAACACGUACGACGGUGAGGGAUGAAAGCUGGGGGAGCAAACCGGAUUAGAUACCCGGGUAGUCCCAGCUGUAAACUAUGCAAACUCAGUGAUGCAUUGGCUUGUGGCCAAUGCAGUGCUGCAGGGAAGCCGUUAAGUUUGCCGCCUGGGAAGUACGUACGCAAGUAUGAAACUUAAAGGAAUUGGCGGGGGAGCACCACAAGGGGUGAAGCCUGCGGUUCAAUUGGAGUCAACGCCAGAAAUCUUACCCGGAGAGACAGCAGAAUGAAGGUCAAGCUGAAGACUUUACCAGACAAGCUGAGAGGUGGUGCAUGGCCGUCGCCAGCUCGUACCGUGAGAUGUCCUGUUAAGUCAGGUAACGAGCGAGAUCCCUGCCUCUAGUUGCCACCAUUACUCUCAGGAGUAGUGGGGCGAAUUAGCGGGACCGCCGCAGUUAAUGCGGAGGAAGGAAGGGGCCACGGCAGGUCAGUAUGCCCCGAAACUCUGGGGCCACACGCGGGCUGCAAUGGUAACGACAAUGGGUUUCGAAUUCGAAAGGAUGAGGUAAUCCUCAAACGUUACCACAGUUAUGACUGAGGGCUGCAACUCGCCCUCACGAAUAUGGAAUCCCUAGUAACUGCGUGUCACUAUCGCGCGGUGAAUACGUCCCUGCUCCU
RNAcentral lists this ribosomal RNA (864 nucleotides) under uncultured archaeon. RNAcentral describes it as "SSU rRNA". It matches the Rfam family "Archaeal small subunit ribosomal RNA", at positions 474 to 1337 of the family's 1478-position model. The record is from RNAcentral.